AUGGUAUCGUGAGAUGAAAUCAGC
RNAcentral lists this microRNA (24 nucleotides) under Solanum tuberosum (potato). RNAcentral's name for it is "stu-miR1886e". The record is from miRBase by way of RNAcentral. Lineage: Eukaryota; Viridiplantae; Streptophyta; Magnoliopsida; Solanales; Solanaceae.